UUGGAGGGCAAGUCUGGUGCCAGCAGCCGCGGUAAUUCCAGCUCCAAUAGCGUAUAUUAAAGUUGUUGCAGUUAAAAAGCUCGUAGUUGAAUUUCGGGGUUAGUAGGUUGGUCAUGCCACUGGUAUGUACUGGUCUCACUGAUUCCUCCUUCCUGAUGAGCCGUAAUGCCAUUAAUUUGGUGUUGCGAGGAAUCUGGGCUGUUACUUUGAAAAAAUUAGAGUGUUUAAAGCAAGCUAACGCUUGAAUACAUUAGCAUGGAAUAAUGAAAUAGGACGUUCGAUCCUAUUUUGUUGGUUUCUAGGAUUGACGUAAUGAUUAAUAGGGAUAGUUGGGGGCAUUAGUAUUCAAUUGUCAGAGGUGAAAUUCUUGGAUUUAUUGAAGACUAACUACUGCGAAAGCAUUUGCCAAGGAUGUUUUCAUUAAUCAAGAACGAAAGUUAGGGGAUCGAAGACGAUCAGAUACCGUCGUAGUCUUAACCAUAAACUAUGCCGACUAGGGAUCGGAUGAUGUUAUUUUUAAUGACUCAUUCGGCGCCUUACGGGAAACCAAAGUGUUUGGGUUC
RNAcentral lists this ribosomal RNA (563 nucleotides) under uncultured Glomeromycotina. RNAcentral's name for it is "SSU rRNA". It matches the Rfam family "Eukaryotic small subunit ribosomal RNA", at positions 548 to 1114 of the family's 1831-position model. Lineage: Eukaryota; Fungi; Glomeromycota. The record is from RNAcentral.